Molecule: ribosomal RNA, 489 nt
Filed under: uncultured bacterium
Lineage: Bacteria
Also listed under: 1 other name
Description: bacterial SSU rRNA
Rfam family: Bacterial small subunit ribosomal RNA
Source: RNAcentral
GAGGGGCUCGCGGCCUAUCAGCUAGUUGGCGGGGUAACGGCCCACCAAGGCUAUGACGGGUAGCUGGUCUGAGAGGACGACCAGCCACACGGGGACUGAGACACGGCCCCGACUCCUACGGGAGGCAGCAGUGGGGAAUUUUCCGCAAUGGGCGAAAGCCUGACGGAGUGACGCCGCGUGUGGGACGAAGGCCUUCGGGUCGUAAACCACUGUCAGUGGGAAAGAUGGGUGUCGGCGCUAAUACCGCCGGCAUCUGACGGUACCUGCAGAGGAAGCCCCGGCCAACUCUGUGCCAGCAGCCGCGGUAAGACAGAGGGGGCAAGCGUUGCUCGGAAUUACUGGGCGUAAAGGGCGCGUAGGCGGGAUGGCAAGUCGGUCGUGAAAUCCCUCGGCUCAACUGAGGAAUGUCGAUCGAUACUGCUGUUCUUGAGGAUUGCAGAGGAGACUGGAAUUCCCGGUGUAGCGGUGAAAUGUGUAGAGAUCGGGAGG